CACGUAGGGGGCAAGCGUUGUCCGGAUUCAUUGGGCGUAAAGAGCUCGUAGGCGGCUCAGUAAGUCGGGUGUGAAACCCUCAGGCUCAACCUGGGGACGCCACUCGAUACUGCUGUGGCUAGAGUCCAGUAGGGGAGUGUGGAAUUCCCGGUGUAGCGGUGAAAUGCGCAGAUAUCGGGAGGAACACCAGCGGCGAAGGCGGCACUCUGGGCUGGUACUGACGCUGAGGAGCGAAAGCCAGGGGAGCAAACGGG
Molecule: ribosomal RNA, 254 nt
Filed under: uncultured bacterium
Lineage: Bacteria
Description: partial 16S ribosomal RNA
Rfam family: Bacterial small subunit ribosomal RNA
Source: RNAcentral